AUACGGAGGGGGUUAGCGUUGUUCGGAAUUACUGGGCGUAAAGCGCACGUAGGCGGACUGGAAGGUUGGGGGUGAAAUCCCGGGGCUCAACCCCGGAACUGCCUCCAAAACUUCCAAUCUAGAGAUCGAGAGAGGUGAGUGGAAUUCCAAGUGUAGAGGUGAAAUUCGUAGAUAUUUGGAGGAACACCAGUGGCGAAGGCGGCUCACUGGCUCGAUACUGACGCUGAGGUGCGAAAGCGUGGGGAGCAAACAGGAUUAGAUACCCCGGUAGUCC
Molecule: ribosomal RNA, 274 nt
Filed under: uncultured bacterium
Lineage: Bacteria
Description: partial 16S ribosomal RNA
Rfam family: Bacterial small subunit ribosomal RNA
Source: RNAcentral